GGAGGAGUCCUUUCUCUCUCCAUAGAUUUUGGAGCUCCUAGAAGUCUCUCUUUUUCAAUUCCUUCUUAAAUUUUAGCUAAGGAGGUAAUUUAAGGAGUCCAUUACAGAUGCCCGCAACCGAGCACUUCGGUUUGCCAUUUUCGAAGACUGGCAUUCGCUUCAACUAACUAUGGUCAGUGCACCGAGUAUCUGGCUUGGUUUGGUCAGUUUCGAUGAGAAACCAAUAGAGAGGAGUAUGGUGGCAAUCUCCAGAUGAGAGGCAAAUCGGCACAGUAAUCCAUCUCCAAAUCUCAAGAUCCGACCAGAUCUAGAGAUGGAUGAGAGAAAGAGCACCAAAGAUUAUGAAGUAAAGCAUCAAAGAAAAAUAAAAAGGAAUGGGACAGUUCUCUUAGACUUCUAUUAGAAUAUGCCACAAUAAGUGGUCAAAUAAUGUUCAAAUUUUGUAACUGAAUUAGAAACCAAUCCAUAUAAGAAAACAAACUCAUGUAUGAAAACAUUUCAGGACAGAAAUGGGAUUUUGAAAUUUGUGAUCCAUUCCUUCAAGCUGGAAAGAAAAGCCUUCCCUGGCAUCCAAAAUACAGUUCAGAAGCCAAAGGAAAUCAAGAGAACCCAAAACAAUACCUCCAGAGAACACAAUAGCUUAUGUGGUCAGCACUCUAGCCUAUGUGCACAGAAGAAAAUGAAGAAAAUCACAGUACAUAAGCUGCUCCAUCUCUCUCUAAAAAUAAGCCCGUUACAUCCAAAAAUUGGACUAUCUUUCUAAACCAUAAACCUAAAGUAAGAUCACGAGAUUAUAUAAAAACUGACUAUCAAAAAGGUUUAAAUCCAAUACAUCAGGAAUCCAGGAUAAUGUUGGAUCGGCAAGGGCAUAAGAUGGGAGUCAACGAAACGGGUAAUUUUCAUGACAUGGCAUUAGAAAAUAAUGAAGGUCAACUCAAAAGUGUUCUCAAAUUCAAAGAUAAAAAAGAUAUACUUAAGAGUAACACGUUAUCAACAAGAGAUCAUAUGUGCAACUUAAGUUCGAACAUGAGUUAACAGGCUAGUUUGUGUUUCAAAUUGAGGAAAAGCACUUAAUGUAGAUGUUGUAUAUGUAUAACUUACCCAAAAUUUUAAGUACCUAAUAAAUCAGACAUGCCGUUAACAUACACCAAGACUUAGAAUUCAACAAAUAAUGCAAAAAAAGAUAGUAUAAGUGGUCGAGCAUACCUCUGGAUUUUUCAUAAUUUACACGAGUUAAGACUGUCGCAGGAUCGUCAUCACAUUCUGCUCUAAUAUUUGCAAAUACGGCAUGAAGAGAACUCCUUUAGGUGAGGAUUUCGUAGAGAGAUUACCCCGUUGACUUCCUGAUUAUAGUGAAACCACACCCCACUCU
RNAcentral lists this long non-coding RNA (1372 nucleotides) under Prunus persica (peach). RNAcentral's name for it is "long non-coding RNA (PPER_LNC003513)". The record is from RNAcentral. Lineage: Eukaryota; Viridiplantae; Streptophyta; Magnoliopsida; Rosales; Rosaceae.